RNAcentral lists this ribosomal RNA (253 nucleotides) under uncultured bacterium. RNAcentral's name for it is "partial 16S ribosomal RNA". It matches the Rfam family "Bacterial small subunit ribosomal RNA", at positions 524 to 776 of the family's 1533-position model. The record is from RNAcentral.
UACGUAGGGGGCAAGCGUUAUCCGGAUUUACUGGGUGUAGAGGGAGCGUAGACGGCAAUACAAGUCGGAAGUGAAAUACCCGGGCUCAACCUGGGAACUGCUUUGGAAACUGUAUGGCUGGAGUGCUGGAGAGGUAAGCGGAAUUCCUAGUGUAGCGGUGAAAUGCGUAGAUAUUAGGAGGAACACCAGUGGCGAAGGCGGCUUACUGGACAGUAACUGACGUUGAGGCUCGAAAGCGUGGGGAGCAAACAGG